RNAcentral lists this ribosomal RNA (490 nucleotides) under uncultured bacterium. RNAcentral's name for it is "partial 16S ribosomal RNA". It matches the Rfam family "Bacterial small subunit ribosomal RNA", at positions 30 to 507 of the family's 1533-position model. The record is from RNAcentral.
AUUGAACGCUGGCGGCAGGCCUAACACAUGCAAGUCGAACGGUAACAGGAAGCAGCUUGCUGCUUCGCUGACGAGUGGCGGACGGGUGAGUAAUGUCUGGGAAACUGCCUGAUGGAGGGGGAUAACUACUGGAAACGGUAGCUAAUACCGCAUAACGUCGCAAGACCAAAGAGGGGGACCUUAGGGCCUCUUGCCAUCGGAUGUGCCCAGAUGGGAUUAGCUAGUAGGUGGGGUAACGGCUCACCUAGGCGACGAUCCCUAGCUGGUCUGAGAGGAUGACCAGCCACACUGGAACUGAGACACGGUCCAGACUCCUACGGGAGGCAGCAGUGGGGAAUAUUGCACAAUGGGCGCAAGCCUGAUGCAGCCAUGCCGCGUGUAUGAAGAAGGCCUUCGGGUUGUAAAGUACUUUCAGCGGGGAGGAAGGGAGUAAAGUUAAUACCUUUGCUCAUUGACAUUACCCGCAGAAGAAGCACCGGCUAACUCCGUG